RNAcentral lists this ribosomal RNA (1332 nucleotides) under Gonepteryx amintha. RNAcentral describes it as "16S ribosomal RNA". The stretch from base 1080 to 1239 matches the Rfam family "Eukaryotic large subunit ribosomal RNA", at positions 2825 to 2984 of the family's 3401-position model. The record is from RNAcentral. Lineage: Eukaryota; Metazoa; Arthropoda; Insecta; Lepidoptera; Pieridae.
UGGGGGUAAAUUAAUAAAAUAAUAUAAUAAUAAAAAAAGUUUUAAUUAAAUAUUUAAUGGGGGUUAAAGUAUUUAUUUAGAAAAAAUUUUUAUAUUUAUAGUGAAUUAGUAUUGUGAAAGAAUUUUGAAAAAUUUUGAAAAUAAAUUAAUUAAAAAGUAAAUUUAAUUUAUUAUAUCUUGUGUAUCAGAGUUUAUUUAAUAAAUAUUUUUUUAUUAAAAAUAUCUCGAAUUUAAAAGAGAUAAUUAAUUAAUAAAGUUAAUGUUGAAUAAUUAUUUUUAAUAAUUAAUUUGAAAUGAAAUGUUAAUCGUUUUUAAAUAUAUCUAGUUUUUUUAGAAAAAAAUUUAAUUUUAAAUUAAUUUUAUUUAUAAUUAAUUUUUAAAUUAAUAAAAAAAUUUAAUUAAAUAUUUUAAGGGAUAAGCUUUAAAUUAAAAUUUUAUAAUAUAAUUUAAACUUAAAAUAAAAUUUUUAAAAUUUAUAUUUUUUAUAAAUUAUAGUUUUUUAUAAAUAAUUUUAUUUUAAUUAAAAUUUAAUAUAUGGAUUUAUUUAAAUUUUUAUAAAAAAAUAUUUUAAAAUAAUAAAAAUUUAGUAAUAAUGAUAAAAUUAGUAUAUUUAUUAAAAAUAAAAUAAAAUGGAUUAAAUUUAAGAAAAAGGAAUUCGGCAAAUAUUUAUAUUCACUUGUUUAUCAAAAACAUGUCUUUUUGAGAAUAAUAUAAAGUCUAAUCUGCCCACUGAAUUAAAUUUAAAGGGCUGCAGUAUAUUGACUGUACAAAGGUAGCAUAAUCAAUAGUCUUUUAAUUGAAGACUGGUAUGAAUGAUUUGAUGAAAUAUAAACUGUCUCUUUUUUAAAAAUAGAAUUUAAUUUUUUAGUUAAAAAGCUAAAAUAUAUAUAAAAGACGAGAAGACCCUAUAGAGUUUAAUAAUUUUUUAUUUUUAAAUAAUUUAUAUAUUUUAUAAUUUAAAAAUAAAAAAUUAUUUUGUUGGGGUGAUAGAAAAAUUAAAAUAACUUUUUUUAAAAAUUAACAUUAAUAUAUGAAUAUAUGAUCCAUAAUUUAUGAUUAAAAGAAUAAAUUACCUUAGGGAUAACAGCGUAAUUUUUUUUUUUAGUUCGUAUAAAAAAAAGAGUUUGCGACCUCGAUGUUGGAUUAAGAUAAAAUUUAAAUGCAAAAGUUUAAAAUUUUUGAUCUGUUCGAUCAUUAAAAUCUUACAUGAUCUGAGUUCAAACCGGUGUAAGCCAGGUUGGUUUCUAUCUUUAUAGUAAUAAAAUAAUUUAGUACGAAAGGAUCAGUUAUUUUAAAUAAUUUAAUUAUUAAGAAUAUUAAUAAAAUUAAUUU